UAGUUCAGUUGGUAGAAUGCCUGCCUCACAUGCACAAGGCCCUGGGUUCAAUCCCCAG
Molecule: transfer RNA, 58 nt
Filed under: Urocitellus parryii (Arctic ground squirrel)
Lineage: Eukaryota; Metazoa; Chordata; Mammalia; Rodentia; Sciuridae
Also listed under: 2 other names
Description: Spermophilus parryii (Arctic ground squirrel) tRNA
Rfam family: tRNA
About the family: Transfer RNA (tRNA) molecules are approximately 80 nucleotides in length. Their secondary structure includes four short double-helical elements and three loops (D, anti-codon, and T loops). Further hydrogen bonds mediate the characteristic L-shaped molecular structure. tRNAs have two regions of fundamental functional importance: the anti-codon, which is responsible for specific mRNA codon recognition, and the 3' end, to which the tRNAs corresponding amino acid is attached (by aminoacyl-tRNA synthetases). tRNAs cope with the degeneracy of the genetic code in two manners: having more than one tRNA (with a specific anti-codon) for a particular amino acid; and 'wobble' base-pairing, i.e. permitting non-standard base-pairing at the 3rd anti-codon position.
Source: Rfam by way of RNAcentral